GACGAACGCUGGCGGCGUGCUUAACACAUGCAAGUCGAACGGUGAAGCUCCAGCUUGCUGGAGUGGAUCAGUGGCGAACGGGUGAGUAACACGUGAGCAACCUGCCCCUGACUCUGGAAUAAGCGCUGGAAACGGCGUCUAAUACUGGAUACGAGAAGGGUCCGCAUGGGCACUUUCUGGAAAGUUUUUCGGUUGGGGAUGGGCUCGCGGCCUAUCAGCUUGUUGGUGAGGUAAGGCUCACCAAGGCGACGACGGGUAGCCGGCCUGAGAGGGCGACCGGCCACACUGGGACUGAGACACGGCCCAGACUCCUACGGGAGGCAGCAGUGGGGAAUAUUGCACAAUGGGCGAAAGCCUGAUGCAGCGACGCCGCGUGAGGGAUGACGGCCUUCGGGUUGUAAACCUCUUUCAGCAGGGAAGAAGCGAAAGUGACGGUACCUGCAGAAGAAGCACCGGCUAACUACGUG
Molecule: ribosomal RNA, 467 nt
Filed under: uncultured bacterium
Lineage: Bacteria
Description: partial 16S ribosomal RNA
Rfam family: Bacterial small subunit ribosomal RNA
Source: RNAcentral